This 350-nucleotide unclassified non-coding RNA is filed under the name uncultured Ascomycota. Its description in RNAcentral is "sequence contains ITS2". The stretch from base 1 to 155 matches the Rfam family "5.8S ribosomal RNA". Lineage: Eukaryota; Fungi; Ascomycota. The record is from RNAcentral.
AACUUUUGGCAAUGGAUCUCUUGGUUUUGGCUAUCGAUGAAGAACGCAGCGAAAUGCGAUAAGUAAUGUGAAUUGCAGAAUUUGGUGAAUCAUCGAAUCUUUGAACGCACAUUGCACUCCUUGGUACUCCUUGGAGUAUACCUGUUCGAGCGCCGUUUGUGUCCUAAGGCAUCGCCUUGCGUUGACGCUGCUCCGCUAGGAGCCCGUCGUAACACAUCGGCGCCUUCUCUUGACCCGACCCGCAGCGAAAGUGCGUAUAAGGCAAGAGAGGGCGAGCCAGUCUCUCUGAAAGCAUGGCCUCGGAUCAGGUAGGGAUACCCGCUGAACUUAAGCAUAUCAUAAGCGGAGGC